GAUCUAGUUGCAUUUUGGAGAAGCCCCGGAGCAUGCUUUCUUUGGCAGCAUGGAUUAUGGAUUUCGCUCAAAGGGGAAAGUACCUUUUUUUUUGUCACAGUUGCCUCUUUCUAGUUAGAGGCAGCUGCUAACGUCAGCUAGCUACAGCUAGCUAUCCUCUUCCUCUGUGUCUGAAUUAAUUUGUGGCUAUUUCUUUCUAGCGAGCUAAUUUUCCCCCAACUUCGGACACCCCCUGACUUCGGACACUCUAGCGGUUGGAGGACUAAAUCACCUCCAGCUCAAAAUUAAUGGACUGGAAAAUAACGAUAAAGUCAAAAGGAAGCAAUGGAGUGAGGUGGACAUCUUCCAUGCCGUGAAGGACUUUGYGGAUGGGAUGGCUAUCCACCAAGCUGUCAAGGUGUAUGGUGUAUCUCGGAAGACCCUGACAGACACUCUGAGCGGCCAGAUGACCCAUGGUUGUCGCAGUGGACCACCCACAUUGCUUGCACCAGAGGAUGAAAAUUCUCUGGUGCAGUACUAUAUCUACUGCGCUAGCCAUGGGUUUCCUUUCACCAGACAACGGCUGAUGAAACAAGCCAACAAAAUAAGCUGGUUUCUGCACCGAGGAGAAACAAUCCCACCACUGGGGAAGAGGUGGUAGGAAAUGUUCAGGAGGAAGCACCAGAACCUGAGCAUGGGGAGGCCAGACACCCUAGACAGUGGGAGAGCUGAGUGUGCCACCCGUCCGAUGAUGGACACCUUCUUCUUGGAGGAGAGUGGGUUGAGGGAGAAACCCAGACAAAUCUAUAACUGCGAUGAGUCUGGGUUUUAUAGCGACCAGAGCAGGCAAAGUCCUGGCUCUCCGGUGUGCAAAACACGUGCACUCCUAUAUGGUAAACAAAUCAGAAUUUGCUAGAGUAUUCUGCUACCUGUACCAGCGCUACUAGGACAUGCUGUAUGUGGUGGAAGGGUCCUUACCUUCCUGAAGUAUCAGCCAGACCGAUACAGAAGACUCCCUGUGGUCGCUACAUGCCCCAGUGGCAGGAGAGGGGUGAGAAGGAGAGGGCAGAUGAGAAUACUGUUGGGCAGCCCUCAGAACAGAGGGCACAGGAGAGGGUUGCCAUGGAUGAGACCAUCGACGCCAUCGCCUAUGCUGAACCCCCCCCCACUGGAACCAUUCCUGCCAGCUGCAUCACCACCGCCCGUGCAACACCUGUAGUAGCCGCCAGAGCCCCCAGCUGCAGGUGGAGGCCACGUGUAUGCUCUCCCGCCACACGGUCGUCGGUUCCUCAAUCCCACCAACACCAGCUUCUCCAAGCCAUCGGCGUCGGGUUUUGUCCACCACCACAAUGCAAACCAGACCCCCCUGUCUGUGAAACCCCGAAACGGCCUCCUCUGGACCAACUGCCUCCUCCAUCUCCCCUGAUCACCGAUACCACAGCAGCCUCAUCUGGUGUCCCUGACCACGGCAAUUUGAAUACAUGCACCUCUACAGCACAGAAAAGGAAGAGAAAAGCUCUACUGGCCACCUGUCACGCCACCCAUUGCACCACCCUCAGUUUUUCAAGUGAAAGAAGACACCACCUGUUGUGCUUGCUGUGGGGAGUAUGAUCCGCCUGCAAGCUCCCCYCAGGAGUGUGAGUCCGAGGUGCCAUGGGGGCCCCAGCACUGGUUCCACUGCAMGUGUGUGCACUGAGAUCCAG
Salvelinus sp. IW2-2015 is the source of this 1682-nucleotide non-coding RNA. The record is from RefSeq and is a predicted model, not a curated record. NCBI's taxonomy places the organism in Eukaryota, Metazoa, Chordata, Actinopteri, Salmoniformes, Salmonidae.